Molecule: long non-coding RNA, 1442 nt
Filed under: Homo sapiens (human)
Lineage: Eukaryota; Metazoa; Chordata; Mammalia; Primates; Hominidae
Description: HSALNT0241696
Source: RNAcentral
UACAUAUGUAACUAACCUGCACAUUGUACACAUGUACCCUAAAACUUAAAGUAUAAUAAUAAUAAAAAAAAAAUUGAAAAAAAAAUUAAACAGAUUGAAAGCCGUGUCCAACUGCUAAAUUUAUAUCCUCCCUGACCACUACACCCCUUAAUUAGCCUUGACAAAAAAAAAAAAAAACACAAUUCCCAUUAUCAAUUUCAGACGGAAAAUCAUUUAUAGUCAGACUAGAUUUUCUUGAAAUUCAUCAUAUAAUAAACUAAUGAUUACUAAGUUCUUUGAUAAGCACAGUCAAGGAGGAAAAACUGGGCAUUAUUUGUUCAUUCGAUUAGUCUUUUUUUUAAUUAAUUAAUUUUCUUUUUUAAAGACAGGGUAUCUCUCUGUAGCCCAGGCUGGAAUGCAAUCACACGAUCUCGGCUUACUGCAACCUCUGCCUCCCCAGCUCAAGCGAUUCUCCCACCUCAGCCUGUUGAGUAGCUGGGACUACAGACACGUACCACUAUGCCCCGCUAAUUUCUUUGUAUUUUUGUAGAGAUGGAUUUUUGCCAUGUUGCCCAGGCUGGUCUCGAACUCCUGGGCUUAAGUGAUCCACCCGCCUUGGCCUCCCAAAGUGCUGGGACUACAGGCAUGAGCCACCAUGCCUGGUCUCAACUAGUCAUUAUUGAUCAAGUGAACAAAAAUAGCAGAGGAAGGGACCUCCAGAAACCCUCUGCUCCAUAAAAGCAAUGAGAACUCUGGCAAAAAUUAUCAGAACCAACUUGUUUCAAAACUCUGAAAAUAAGCCAAAGGCUUGCAGCUAUCCGAGGAAUUUCUUCAAGAAAAAUGACUGAGUCUCAAUAAGAACAGUGAGGUUUGUGGCAUUUAAACUUGCCCUAUUCCCAUCUACCCAUCUCCAGGUUCCCUGGAGCAUUGAAAACCAGUACUCCACAAUCAUGAUGAAAAUGUAUGUGUGUACUAUUGAGGUGAGAAAGGCCUCUUUAAGCACAACUCAAAACUCAGAAGACAUAAAGAAAAAAUAAUAAAUUUUGUGAUAAAAUGUAACAGUCCCAUUCCAAAAACCAAAGACACCAGUUCAAAAUUAAAAGAGAAACAACAGACUAGAAGAAAACAUUUGUAACAUACAUAACAAAGGAUUAAUAGCCAGAAUAUGAAAACUCCUACAAAUCAAUGAGAUGAACAACCCAGUUUUUUAAAUGAAAAGUAUAUGUGAAAAGGCAAUUCAUAGAAAAAAUAUAUAAAUGACCAGUAAUUAUAUUAAAAGAUUACUAAUUUCAUAAUUGAGAAAUAUAAUUAAACAAGAUAGUUCCUGCAAAACAAGGUGGCAAAAUUUCUUUUUCUCUUAAGAAAAAGAUAUUUGCAUUUUUCCCUUUUAUUUUUCUCUAGGGAGUCUCUUGAUUUCUAACUGUAUGCUUGAUCUUUUUACUAGUUUCUAUGAGACCUAGGUC